AUGAACGCUGGCGGCGUGCCUAAUACAUGCCAGUCGAGCGAACAGACGAGGAGCUUGCUCCUCUGACGUUAGCGGCGGACGGGUGAGUAACACGUGGAUAACCUACCUAUAAGACUGGGAUAACUUCGGGAAACCGGAGCUAAUACCGGAUAAUAUAUUGAACCGCAUGGUUCAAUAGUGAAAGACGGUUUUGCUGUCACUUAUAGAUGGAUCCGCGCCGCAUUAGCUAGUUGGUAAGGUAACGGCUUACCAAGGCAACGAUGCGUAGCCGACCUGAGAGGGUGAUCGGCCACACUGGAACUGAGACACGGUCCAGACUCCUACGGGAGGCAGCAGUAGGGAAUCUUCCGCAAUGGGCGAAAGCUUGACGGAGCAACGCCGCGUGAGUGAUGAAGGUCUUCGGAUCGUAAAACUCUGUUAUUAGGGAAGAACAAACGUGUAAGUAACUAUGCACGUCUUGACGGUACCUAAUCAGAAAGCCACGGCUAACUACGUG
This 496-nucleotide ribosomal RNA is filed under the name uncultured bacterium. Its description in RNAcentral is "partial 16S ribosomal RNA". It matches the Rfam family "Bacterial small subunit ribosomal RNA", at positions 29 to 507 of the family's 1533-position model. The record is from RNAcentral.